CAGGGGGGUAGGAUGAUGUGGAUGGGACUGGUUAUAUAAAAGUAUAGGGCACUGUUGGAAUGAGCCAGAUGGUAUGAUAGCAGUCAUCGUCAACAGAACCGUCCUUAUUGUCUGCGUGUGGACGUGCUUCGCCUCUGCAUGACCUUGUGAACUUUUCUGACGCGUGACCUCGAAAAAUCCCUGCCACGGCUCCCCGAGCUCCCCUCCACAUCCCCGGGCUUCUCUGCACAGGCUGUUACCCAGGCAGGAAGUGACAUCAACGGGUCCAAACUAAAAAAUAUGUCGCAGGACGGACUGUCUAGGAUGUGCAGGACCCGGUGUUUGUAAGGGAGGACGCCUCGCAGCGGCUCCAUAAAGUGAUGCUCACUGAAGGAUGCAGGAGAGCGCCGCACAGGCGAGACAGACAGACGCACGGGAGGCUGAGCUCUCUAUCAUGGCGUUCUGCUUAAAGGGGUGCUGUCUGCUAUCCAGCUACAGCUGAGAAACAUCUUCAUAAAAGGAGUUUGAAUGGGCAGAGUCUGGUUUGGCACUUCCUGGAUUUAAAACCACAUGGUCAAGUGUAGCAGAGAAGAGAGGUAAGAAAGUCAAGUGAAAAUACGUUAAAACAUGUCAAGUCUGUGUUAUAUUACUUCUGUAAGAAACAACACAAUGACACAGUUGUCAUAAUCACUGAGUCUUUUACCUGAAUAGCACACUGUUUGGACUCUUUGUGAACAGAUGACACCAGAAGUGGGUAGGGUGGACAUUUUGUGACUUCUUGAGAUUAGCAAGCAUGCAGCAAAUGUUUUUUUUUUACAGCCUGGUUUGUAAGUUACAUAACAUUCCUGUCGAAAUUAAUAAGGGAUACACGCUCUGACUCAAGCAUUUUCUAAGCAAACCACAGAGACAAGCAUGUUUUAGACAGAACAGAGGCAAAACUGUUUGAAACGUCUAUUGUAAAAGUCCAUUACAGUGUACAGACAAACUCCAUGAAGUUCCUCCUAGACCUCCUGUACUUAAAAUAGCUGUGCACACCUACAGUUUUUCCAGGAACUAACAGUCUCUCACUCUUGGUUUUACCUCAAAAUACAGCAGGUUAUUCUUGGUGAACUGAUACUGUUGACUCCUAAAUGGCCUUCCUAGCUUGGCUGGAGCUGAAUGACACCUGCUCUCUUAAAUGGCAUUAAAUCAGCUGUCUGUACAACUGGAAUAAGCUGUGGGGAUUUCUCCUCGACGCCUGUCUUUUUCUCUGCAGAGCUCAAAUACAGUUUCACUGCUAAUCUCGAUGCAGAGGAUAAACUCAUCUUCACAAGAGGAUUUCAAGGAGGAGCAGUUAUCUGGAUCGCCACAAAGAUUCAUGGGCUCCUGGCUAUCUUCACCCACUAUGGCUCCUUCAUGAUGGCCCCCUAAUCUCUGCCAGUGUGGUUCCAUCAUAAUAUGCAUUGCAAGGCGGCUGCGUAAUCAAGCCUGUGAACUCGACAUCUGAAGGAAGGAUUCUGUUUCUGAUCACAUCCCUAUUGAAGUCCGUCCAUUCGCUGAACAUGGAUGCAUUCACAUGCUCAUGCUUGCACUCGCUGAACAUGCCACGGAGGGGCCAUGAAUAAUGCCUGAGGAGCCUAAGAGAGAAUAACAGAGAUAUCACCACCUCUCCUGCUUAUUACCACCUAGCUGUACUGUUGAAGGGAUGUAGCAGUGUGCUCCAGCUUGUGUCCAGGGUCUCCUCAUUUGCCUUCAGGGAAUUGAAAAAAAGGUAACUGUGGCCUUCUGACCUCAGACUGAGAGAAUUCCAAUCUCUCACCAUUCUAAAUCUUUGUUUUCUCACAAGCUGUAUAGUUUCGCCUCUCUUGAGUUAUAAACUAUUGGCCUUUCUGCUAGUCCUAUAGUCAUCCAACCGUUUUAUUGUCUCAGUGGGGGUACAGAGUUCAGGCAGCAGUCAUCGACCAAAACAGAGGUGAACUGUUUGGGGAAGCAGCUUGGCUACUUUGCGAACUUAUCUGUCAGACCUGUGGAGGCUUUGAGGGAGCACAAAACAAACACAAGGUGGAUUCUAUCAUUGCAAACUUGCUGUUGAUUUUAGUGCACACGCAGACACACAAACAAAGCAAAGUUGUUGCUCUUGUUAAAAGUUUUUAUAUAUCCACCUCUUGAUCUAAAGUAAAUAAUGUGAAAGGCUGUCUUCACGAUGUAGGAAUAUUAUCAGAAAUUAACAGUCAAAUCCAAUUGAACUACAAAUUAAGAUUAAACAGUCAUCAGAUGUUUUGGUCAGGCUCCAGAACUCAUGAGUUAUAUAUUUACUAUUUAUACUUAUUCAUAACUAUAUAAAAAAAAAAACUUCUGAUGGCUCUAUAAGACAACAUUAGUCAAGAUUUUUUCAUAGACGCUUUAUUAGUUGCAAUUUUGCACAUUUGCAAUAUUACAACAAAAGACACUAAAAAGAACGAGUUCCAGAUUUAAAUUCUGUUGUAAAAGAGUCAAAAAAAAAGUCUGAAAUCAAACAGUUUUUCAUCCUGCCAUAACAGCAGCCUGUUGGCAGUUAAGUCAUGAAUGUAGCCACAGAUUUGGCAAACAAAUGAGACCCACUUUGAGGCUGUGUUGAUAACUGUAGUGAAGUAUUUGCAUGAGCGAGAAGCAGGUGGCAGCCAAAUGAACAAAGUUGUUCUCAGUCAAAAACAAAUUCAGGCUCAGUCAUAAAUCUAAAUGAUGUUCAGUUAAUGCUGCAGCUAUUCACACAGCAAUUAAAGUGAAUUUAGGCUGCUAAUACGAGAUUUGGCAGCAGUGCGCUUGCUGUGAUGUCACGUAGGGGCGGAUCCCUGGUUGCAGUGACAAGAGAAGACAACUCUUUCUUCCAUCCGAGCACAAUAACAGCAGGGUUAGCUUUGACUUGUUUUUUAAAAGGGUGAAACAAACGUUGGGAGGAUGAAUCUGUUUUGUCUUGUCACUGUUUGCCUGCUGUAUCCUGCAUGCUCUCUGAAUCCUCACUCGAACACACAAUAAUACUGACUGGAGCAGGUUAAGGCAGGACACGGCAGAUAAGCUGUGACACAUUUGAAUGUAGGUCAUUUUUGGUUCUUGUUGGUUUGAAGAAAUUCUGUCCUUCUGAGGAUGCAAACUUUGAAUACUCAAGGAGCCUCUUUGCCUCUUCUUCUGCCAGCUAGAAAUUGGCUCUUUUUAAACCAUUCAGAGCACACUGUAUUAUAAACAUGGAUGAAGAGGCUGAUGUCCUAGAAAUUUUUAAUUGUUUGCAAUAGUAAUGCCUGGGAAAACAUUCUCUUGACAGGGUGGUUGAUCAGUUAUGUUGCAUUAUCUUCAGAUCUUCCAAAUGUCCCUUGGCUUGCUGGUAUUUUUGUCAUUUUUACAUGCCAUGCGGUAGCUGGUUGCCAUUGUCAUCACGGCAGACUGGGAGCCGGGGAGAGGACGCCAGCUCUGUGCCAGUUGGCUCAAGUAGUAAAAACACAAGGCAGACACAGCACAAUUCUAAUUUUCAUCGUUCCAGACACAAGGUCACUUUUUUGGCACUGCAGUUUUUCUGUGUCCUUGUUAGUCAAAGACUGAUUCCAAAUACUAUGUAUGGAUCCAUAAACUACUCCCAGUCGACCACAACUCACACUUCAUUUUGUGACAUGUAUAUUUAACUGUGCUAACUGCAAGAUUUAGUCCAUAUACAAUAUUAAAAUGUUGAUUUUCCUCUCAAAAUAAGCAACAGCAACAAAAAAGAUUGAAAUCAGGUUAUUCAUACAAGGUUAUGUAACACUUGGGUGAGCCAGGGCCACUCUGGUGAUCAAGUUUACAGGAAUAGCACAACUCUAUUAUUAGGACGUAAGCCACCAUCAGAAAUGGUAAACAGAUAAUUGCAAAUCUUGUAAUAUUCAUUUUCUUCUAGAAUUAUAUAACACCAUAUGUGCAGAAAGAAGUAAUGUUGGUUCACUAGAGGCUUGUCGAGAUUUCUUUAUUUAAUGAUUUGGCCCUCAUGUCCCAAUUCUGCUAAAACACACACACACACACACACACACACACACACACACACACACACACACACACACAGAAAUGCUGCUUUCUUCUUUGCUACGCUACUUUCACUGUAGCUUACACCAAAUAAAAAAAAAUGUGUGUACCUUGGAUUAUUAUAUAGCUUUAUCAGUUUUCAUGCCGCUCCUAAGCCUGUGGAUCUAUUCUCCUGGUGGUGCUUUGCUUAGUAGACAAUAGUCCUGCAAAUAUCGGGGGCCAAGUCAUUAUCUUCUGCUCAGCAGGUGUAGACAUUAUUGGAGUGCUGAACUAAUGAUAUGUAAUGAGCUCUCUGUGACACAUGUCUAGCCACCCUUACUAUCAUGGGGCCCAUUAAUAGAUAACAGCAUCAUAAUUGGCUUCGUUGGGAAGCCAAACCCCAGCUUAUAAAUUUAUCAAAUAAUAUUUAAGUUGUGUUUGUACACUGUAUGCAGUUUUACAAUCUGUGUUUUCCGGCACUGAGCCAAAUAUGAGGGAGAAAAGUAUAUAACUCUUCCUUUCAUGUAUUUGUUGGUGCAUUUGGUUUGUGCAGCAACAUGGCCAUGUUCACGUACUGAUUCUAUGCAUGGUAUACACACUGCUGACAAGUGCCCUUUCAAAGCGUGCACAUGUACAAUUGUCUGCAACUACUUUUCUUUUUUAAAACAAACAUUAUCCCGUGACUAACAGAGGGGAGAAUCAUCAUUGUUAGUGUUUUCAGUGUGCUCAGUAAAUUGAAAGCCCAGGACACAAAUACAUGGCUGUCUUAAAAAUUUAUAUUGGAAAUGGUUUUGAUGUUGUACCCCACUGCAAACACUUUCAGCCUUCUGCAGGUCUCCUAGCAACAGCAAACAAAGGCAGGACCCAUCUCAAGUUUCCCGUGGAGCGGCCAGUCCGGCGUGCCUUUGAUCUUGACUGGGAAAAUAGCUGAGUGGGCACUACUCACAUUUGUCUUUCAUUUACUCCAGCACCCCCACCCCCCUCCCAAAAUGUUCACUGAAACAGCCAAAUCUUCAUCUGUCCCCAGCAACCAAUACCCCUCUCGGAUAAUCAGCCAUAGCGAGGGAAGUCAUUGAUGCACUGUUUAGUUAAAAUUGGACGUUUUUGUUCUGGAGCAUAGUUGGUACCUUUUAAGAGGAUAACGUUUUGUGGUUCUUCAGUGCAGGAAAGCAAGAGAGUAAACCCAGAGAGUAUUUUAUCCUUUGUUUCCACUGUCUCAAAGUAGUCUUACUGCAGAAUUUAUCAACUGGUGCCUCAGGACUUUGAAGUGAAAACCUCGAUGAACACAUGAAGCAUCCAUGACUGCCUUUCCAAGUGUUUUUAACUUUUUUUGAACUUGGGCCAAACUGAAAACGUAAUUUAUACCAUGAAAAAAGUCCCAAUGCCAGAAUGAAAACUGGGCAUGGAUCGGUUCUGAUGUGGAUUUUGAAAGUCACAGGGCUCCUAUUUAACAUUAAAUAUCUAGGCUGCUCACAGGAAAAAUAUUCAGCACUCCUUUCUGGGUGCUUGAUAAUGCUUUCGAAGUAAGUCCUAGGAGUGAAAAUACAAAUAAUUCUCUCAUUCUAUCUGUAAACAUGACCAAGGAUAGAUAGUGCAACGCAUCUUAGGGCUAUUGAAUGUUAUCUUACUCUGCUCUGCUCUGCUUUCAUCCAAAACGGCUCAGGCAGCUCGGGAGAUUAAACAAAUUGAAGUGUUACACACUGUUUUGGUGUAAUUUACUGUAAUUGAUGUUUCUAUCUAGUGCCGAGGCCUUCUAAAGCAAUUGCUUGUGUUUGUCGGAUGGCAUGCAGCCCAGUGGGGUGUAUUGACAGAGGCUGUUGACUAAUACUGCUAUAUUGGCAUGUUUUAAUGCUCUCCCAUUGUUUGACUAACAGACUCCUCUGUAAAGCUAAAAGCACACCUUGCGCUCUCCAGAAAAUGGAGAUCAAAGUAUAUUUUAUACUUUUUCUCACUCUGAGGCCACUACCUGGAAAUAAAUAAGUGUUCUGCUGAUGUGUCAGUAGGUCAGCAUGGUUUGUAUUUCCUGGUUCUGUGAUUCUAGUUACAAUAUGUGUUCAGUUCACAUCUUACACCACUCGGCAAAUUCUUCCCUCUCGGCCUGUAAACGUUUGUGUUGUUGACAUCCUAGUGAUUGUUGCUAGACCUUGAAAUACAAUAAUCCUUUGCAGGAAUAGCAUGCACAGGACAGCAGUGAACAACCAAAUAUUUCCCAAAAACAAUAAUCUGGUGUUUUUCAGGAUGAGUUGAUUCCAUAUUCACAGAUGAAAGAAAUACUCAGAUCUUUUAGAUAAAGUGGUUACAACCUAUUUUACAAUAACAAUGAAUCAUAUUACAAUGUGAAAACAGUCUGACAGUGUUAGCAUGGUCACUCCAAGUAAUGAAGUUACAGAGCAUAAUCAUCUAAAUUCAUAGCUUCCUUCAGCAUUACCGACCUUUUAUAGGUGAACUCAUGGUUUAGCUGUCUGAUCAAUAAAUGUACUGUUUUGUCUCACUUUCACCACUAUCAUAUCAUCAGUUUUGGUCAAAACAGGCAGCAAUUUUCAGUGAAAAAGCUCUACAAAACACUACUGUACACUAUCUGCACUGCAUCAAGUGACUGACAGACACAGUUAGCAACUAUCAGGUGAACAUAGUGGAAAAUUUAGCAGCUAAAGAGCCAGAUAUUUCCCUCAGGAGUUGUUGGAGAACACAGUGGAGAUCACAAACAGAAAAGGAAAGUGAAUAUUGAACAUUUUCCUGGCAGCCAGAACCAUGACUCCAAAUAAAUGCCUUACUGCUGGAUGUGUAAAUAACCAACUGUUUAAUUUGUCAUGUCACAUUCAUAGAAAAGUGAAAGGAAAAAAGUCUCACAAAGAACCAAAAAAGAAGUACAGCAAGGCUUUAUUGUAGUAUCAAAAGUUAAAGUAGAGAAAUUAAUCCUUUUGCUGUUGCAUAUAUGAUCACGUAUCAUAAUAAAUUAUCAUUUAUAUCGAUACAUUAAUUUGUACAAUAUGCUUAGCAGCUCUCCUCAUGCCCCUUGAGUGUUAUCGUCAAUGUGGAUAGGAUUUUAUUCUACUAUUUUAUAAGAUCAUACAUUACCAAUCAUAAUCUAGUAAUAACCGCUAACUAUAGCUAUAAAAAAAUGUAGAUACAUAAAAGUACACCAUUUCCCUCUGAAAUUUAUUGAUAUUGAGGUCUAGAAAUAGAAAUACACACACCUGAGUUUUACAAUAGGAACAUAAAAGUCAAUCUUGUGCAGCAAAAGACAAAUAUGGUGAAAUACAUGAAUUUAAAGCUCAUAUAUAUAUAGUAAGUACACUGUGAGUUAAGAUGGUUUUCCAAAUCUGUUGUUGCCGAGGUCAAGAAUGAACUUUCAAAACAGUGAUGAGCAUAUUAUAUUCCACAAAGUUUAAUGGUUUCCAGAGCUGUUUUGUUGCUACACACGGACUACUCCUGUGCAUUGGGCCCCAUGACUGCACCAAUGUAUUUUUGUUUUGUUUUUUGUAUUUGAAUACAAUUUGACACUUUUGGUAAAUACAGGCUUCAGGCCUGUCAUAGUCCCUCUGUCCUCCAAACAUAUGUCUGUUCUGUGUGGAGUUUCAGACUAAUGGCCCAUUGGUUUAGUUAGAGCACAAUGCUGCUAACAUCCAGGUUGUGGAUUUGAUCCCUGUUCGCACCAAUGGCUGUUUUUCCCACAUUCUCCAUGCAAUGUCUCCUCACCGUCAAUUAGAGGGCUUUUUUGCCGCCUACUCCUGCUUCUCUCAUCUCCCUUUUCACAGCAUCAGACAUGUUGUUGUGUUCAAGGUGUUAUUACCAUGAGACAGAGCUCAAUGCAGGGAAGGCAACGUAUAAUUCAGCAUCAUAUACAGCAUUUUAUUGGUUCAUAUUUUAUCAUAUGCAUGUUUGUUUUGUUAACAAUGCUGCAAAGUUACUUAAAUUUACAUAUGUUUUUAAAUGUGUAAAAAGCUGCAUUUGUACAUAUAUAAAACACGAAGCAGAUUUGGUUUGUAUGCAUGAGUGCUUGAAAUAUAGUACAGGGCUCCCAAAAAAGUUAUAACAGCCCUGCUUGUAUGUGUUUGUUUCCUCAAUCCUGUAAACUUACACUUUUUCACAAAAUGCCAGCCACAAUUUAGCAGAUACAUUACAUUUCUGUACAGGUGCAUGUAAACAUGCAGCUUGCAAUUAAUCCAGAGAUUGACAAACAUCUUGCCUGACAUUGUUAUGUUCGCCGUAUUCUCUGUCAGUGCUGUUUGUGUAUUUUUCAGCAGUCUUUAGAGAGCGAGAAAAAAAAACAUAUUUCUUCUGUCAUAGAUGCUUGUUUAUGAGGAACACUAGUGCUAGCUGGUUCCUAUUUUAGUUUGUCAAAGCAAAGAAGCUGCAGAAGAGCAGAUUUUUGCAUGCCUUUAAGAGCCUUUCAUGGAAGCAGCUCAGGUUUUCACAUGCAAGAAUUUUGGGGGUGGGAAAAACUGUUCCACCUCCUGCCUUCAGCUGGCUGUAUCCUCCUUUGCAUGUAUUUUACACUCUGAGAAGUCACAAUAUUUAAUGGUUUACAGUCACAUUGCUCAGCACUCGACCUGAUGCAGAAAGCAACCAGCUACUAGCUUGACAACAAAACAAAAGCUUGUGAUCUGCUACAACACAACUGAAGUGCUCCAAUAAACAGACCUUUACAUUUCAAGCUCUCUUCUGACCUAGAAAGGCCAGAAUAAGGUUCGCUUCUCUCACCUUCAAGAACUCUUUGCUAAACGAACAUAGUUCUCCGGGGAAGAAAGGGAAAACAUUUGAAGCAGAUCUUUCUUCUUUCUCCCUUUCUUUCCCGAAACCCCAUUUGAAACUAUUUUAGCAUAUUUAUAUUUAGCACGUUUCUGAUUCAGAAUCCUGCGCAAAAAAAUGCUGUUAUGGCAUCAAGUAUCAUCACAUUACCACGACAAAAAAUAAAGCAUGUCUUCAUCCUUGUCGGCACCAAGCCCCACACAGAGUUGUUCCCUUCUGAUAACUGCAUGUGCCAUCUGACAACAAUGUUGGGGUGGAGAAUGUAUUAAUAUCUUCCUGAGCCCUAAGCAUGCACAUUUACUGUCACCUUAAUUAAGCCGUUUAUAUGCUUACCUAAUAUAGGUGUCCUAAGAGGUACUUCAUACUGGAACCAUUUCAGUGUUUCACCUAAGAAGGAAGAGAACCUCCUUUUCUAUAAAAGUGCCAUUUCAACAUUUGCUCAAUAAAUUAUAUAUGCCAAUGUACCAAUUUGCCCUCUUAGAUUUUCAUUUGCGGUGGAUUUCUUUGCAAUUCCUGCAAUUAGGAAGGUAUUAACAUAGUUUGAGCUUAGAAUUGCCCUAUUGGACUACUUUUAAAAAUACAGACCUUUUUUUUAUAUAUAAAACUCAGACUGGUUAAUGACAGUGUAAGUUGAAAUGUGGUGAAUUGUGGUACGUCUGAAUAAUUUUAAAAAAUGACUAAAUGUGGUGUACACUAAAGAGAGCACGAUGAGCAGUAAUACAGAUUAACAAGAUGAGCAGUGAACAAAUGUUUUACACUAAUUUGAUGCCUCUGCUACCAUUUAAUACACUUUCAAAUCAUCAUUUUAAUUUGUGUUGACGUUACUUUGAAUUUGAAGUGACUCAGGCAAGUUCUUCAUCCAGGUUACGUUACUUCUUUAGUUCUUGCUGCCAUCAUGCAAACUAUGUCUUAAAGCUGCAGUAGGCAGUAAUCUGGAAAGCUCUGAUCAACAAACAAACAACAACAACAAACAGCCCCUCAGCAGCUUCAAUUACACAAAAGUAAUCAGCCUUAUAUUCACUUCUAGCUUGUAUCAGGUUUUGAUCCCUCUGUUUGUCCCAUUGCACCACACCUCCUAUUUCCACUGUAGACUUGUUGCUUUUUAUACUUUCUCAAAUGAUCUGCAUGAAACGCCCUGUGACUGACAUUUCAGGUUAGAUUUUCCAAAGAACAAAGAGGAAGUGCAAAAUUCUCUCUCAGACUACUUGAGUCACAAUAUCCUGACAGGGUAUUAUGGGAAAAAUGCCUACCUGAGCUUUAAACAGUCCUUUCACCCAAAUCAUUGAACGGAAACGAUGCUCUUGUUACACUGGUUCUUGAACAGACCUCUCAGUGAAUAUUUAAGAGAAAGACAGAAAUCUCCAAAUACUAAACAACAAAACCCCAACUUUCUGUAUGUUUAGAUUUAUGUUAGUGAGAAAAUAAGUAAUUUGGUUGCACUGACCCAUUAACUCAAAUCCACUCACUGUAUUUUGACCUCCUAUUGUCCAGUUAUAUUUCUAGUUUUAGGUAUUUUUGAGCACCAGUAUUAAUUUUUACACUGCUUUGGAAGAACCACGUGUUUCAUGGUUGACUUCCUGCAGUCCCCUAAGCUACUUAAACGUUUCGCCUCAUUUGCAGAUCAUUUGGCUCCACUCACACUACUACCAGUCUGCAAAAGAGCAUGGCUUAAUUUUCAUCUGUGAAAGAGGAUGUUUCAAUGUGGAGGUGUUUCAGAAGUGUUUGUCUUAUUUGAAUUUUAAAAAGCCACCGACUCUCACUUACCUACAAUUCUUCAUUAUAGAGUAAAUCACCAAAGCAGCAGCUACAAUUAAGUUUUGCAUUUCAUGUUUAACCUAACUUAAAACAUAAGGGCUCUGAAAGACGCUAAAUUCAAGUGUUGACGUGACAUAAAUCUGACAAAAGUUUCUCUUUAAACUGUUGGAAGCAAAAAAAAUGCAUCACAAGAUUCAUAGAAACUGACAUAAGCGUUUCUUUAAAUGUGCAUUUAACAUAGGAUCUGUUGCGCUGCAGACUAAGCGUUAACAUCAACCCUCAGGGGAUUCAGUACGAUGUGUAUCAAUGCAGUUUUCUGCAUUUCGAGAGUUUUCGUGAAUGUAGGCUACACCUGCACACACAUAAGAGUACUACAGUUUUUCACGUAUCACUGAGGUCUGCGCUAUUUUUAACCUCUGAACAUUUUUUUUCACCUCCAGUGCAAUGCAUUUGAGUUCUUUUUUCCAUUUCAGAAGGUUUCCAAUGGAAUCUCAGGGUAUAUAAAGAAUGUUUAAAGCUCGCAUGCCUAUUUAGAGUGAUGCAAAGACAUGUUACACCAUCUCAAUCUGUCAGCCUAUAUGCUAUGUACACUUGGAAGAAGUCAGUGUCUGUUUGUGCCAUAUAGAAUUAUCACCUCUUAACUAUAUGACAUUUCUGGAGAGAAAAAACAAUCAUGGCACAGACGGAGUGGGGGUGGGGUGGCAUUUGUCAGUGCUCUCAUUGGGGUUCAAAAGUAGAAUGUAAAAUGUCUGUCUUUGUCUGAUCCAACACAUUUUAUUUUUGUAACUGAGAAAUCUGUUCAGGGACCCCAACAUUUUUUCCAACUGUCAGAGUGUCAUUUGUCAGAAAAAAAUAAAGUGAAACUGAUAUCCCACCCCCAGUCCUUCUGUAUGUUGUGAGGUUAUAGCUGUUUCCAGCACGCAAGGUGGGGGUGUGUGUGGCGUGCACACGUAAACACAGCAACCUGCCACCUCAAACACACGUGUCCUGGUCAUCCUGCGGUGCAGAGAGCCGAUCUCCCGGCUGCCUCUUUGACACUGUUGUGCCCUGUGGCUUCAUCUUGACUUUCAAGAAGCCGAAACCAUUUGACUAGAGAGCAUUGUCCCCUCAUGAUUGAGAUGUUAACCUUCAGGGCAACCCCUUGCUCUUUAGCGACUCAUUUUUCCUCCCUCUCUUCCCCGUUCUCCUCCUCCUGCUUCUUCUUCUUCUUCCUUUUCCUUCUCCCCCUGGUUUCUCUUCGCCAGCAGCCUGCACAGUGAGGCCGUCGAGCCAUUAGUGAGUCCCAACCCUGAUAAUGAAGCCACAGAGGUGGUCUGAGCUAGUGUGGCACAGGAGCUGGAGCACAGAAGGAAGGUAGAUUAGGAUAAUUACCUGGCCAUGGGAGCACAAUGGAGAAAAAAAAUGCCUCACUUCCUGCAGGCUUUGAUUGGUGAAGGAGCACAGUACAAUCAGGUGCGACCCCUGUGCGCUCAAAAAGGCGAGAAUAAAAAUUAGUUCCAAUCAUAUUUGCUAAUCAAAACGUGAAAUGGUACAUGUUGGAUUUGAUAGUAAUUUCUCAUUCUUUGUUUUUGCAGGUGUUCUCUGCAUCCCUUACAUGCAUGUGUGUGUUAUUUGUUGUUCAUGUUGUUGUGGUUUGGGUCUCUCACACACGCUGUAAGGACGUCCUAAAUAUCCACGCUCACAGACACUUUGAAGAGCCUAUGAGGUCAGGUUUUAAAUUAUGGUCUGAUCCCACACCAGGCUUUCUCUCCCCACUCCUGUAAAUCCAUUUUCCACACAAUGCAUUUCAAAUCAAAGCCGCGUCGCCAUAACAUGCCUUAGGAAACAUUAAGCCAUAGUGCGUUACUUUCAUGUAUGAUAGCAUAGCCCCUGUAUGCUUUGAUGUGCUCACUUUUUUUAAUGCUUUAUUAAUAACAACACAUUGGCUCCUUCUCACACCACCAUCAGCUUCUGGUGCUCCCUUUCUCUCCUCCUGAGCUGCAUCCCUCACUCUUUCCCAGCCAGUGCUGCUUCAUCCCUCCCCAGCCCCUGAGUCUUGUCUCGGGAUUGGCCUGCUUGUGUUUGGGAGGGGGAUUAGAGGGAAUGACAUGGGCCUCAAGAUGAAGAGAGUGACAAAGACCUAUCAGAGGGCAGAGAGUACAGAGCGCUGCAACAUCAUUGGUUGCUGAGGAAAUCAGACACGUCUUCAUUUCUUGCAGCCAUCCUUCUCCCAGUGCCCAGCUUUCAUUUCCUUGCCUGGGGAGGGAAGCAUGGAGAGGGUGGGGGAUCAGGAUUUGAGUUUCUGUUUGUGAGUUUAAUUGUGUGUGCACAUGUGUGUUUGCUUACAUGUUGUGAGCAGCAAACACAGAAAUACAGAGGGAUGAGCAUGUAGACACUGAUAGCACUCACCUCCUCCAAAGCUGGCCAAAAUACAAAGCAGCCCGCGCAUUUCUGGAGCUGCCCUAGAUGAACACUAUGAAUGGAAGCCUGAUUCAUAGACGUGCAAAUCUACCUACUGAUUCCUCUCAUUAUUUCAGCUUUAUCACUGGAUGUUUUUGCAUUAGUGUUAACUGGCAAAACUAUCCCAAAACAUACAAUGGCUGUUCAGUAUUUGCUGAUAUUUUCUUUCUGACAAAUUCAGUGUAAUGUUGGCAAUUUACCAGAUCACUUAGCAGCUCGCCACAAUCACGUGUGCACACUUGCACACAAACAUCUGCUGAUUUAAUUUUCUGCUUUUGUGCUUUCUUUUUGUUCGUGUCCCUUUUUUGAUGAUUCCUCGCUCUUUCUGUUAUGUGGUAUUAUUGAAUCUUGUUUUUGUUGUUGAUUUAUCAUUUCAGCCCACAACUUCUGCACCACAGUUUCUCAAGUCACUCAACUGCAAUCUGUGGUUGUAAGAAAAUAAAUAUAUUAAUAUACGAAACAAGCUCA
This is a long non-coding RNA of Amphiprion ocellaris (clown anemonefish), 13374 nucleotides long. RefSeq lists it as uncharacterized. The transcript is spliced from 10 exons. Lineage: Eukaryota; Metazoa; Chordata; Actinopteri; Pomacentridae. The record is from RefSeq and is a predicted model, not a curated record.